Molecule: non-coding RNA, 26 nt
Filed under: Rattus norvegicus (Norway rat)
Lineage: Eukaryota; Metazoa; Chordata; Mammalia; Rodentia; Muridae
Source: RNAcentral
UACCUUGCACGUAUGUUGUCCCGGGU